UAUACUAAUUAUAAUAAAUAAUUAGUAGUAUCACAAAACAUUACUUGUUUGUUGUUAGUAGUUAAUUCAUGUUUGAUAUUCGCCAAUUUGUUCACUAACUAUUUUGGUGUUAUUACUUAAUAUUGUUUAUUGGUAUUUACUAUUUUCCAUUUGCUAGGAACAUAAUAUGGUUGAUAAUUAUUAAAUAUAAUUAAAAUGAUUACAAAACAUCAGGUAAUAUGUCUUCUGCAACAAUUGGUAUAGGUGCUAUUAUUUUAAUUGGACUCUGGUCAUCUUCUUUUAUAUUGUGUCUUCUGUCUCUCCGAACACGUCAUAUUUAUUGGACCAAUUGUUUUUGGUAUCUACGAUCCUUUUAACAGUUAUAAUACUGUCCAUACCUCGAAGUUCAGUAGAUACACCUAAACCAGAUAUUAAGAUUGUAGAUCCACUGUUUGUUUGGCGUUUAUCAAUUUUGAGUGUACUAUCUAUAAGUACAGCAAUAGGAUUAGCAGCAUUGUUUUCUUCACAUGUUAUGAGUCGCAAAACUGUCCCGCAACUUAAAUCUUGGGUACUUUAAAUUAUUACAUAGUACAUUGUUAUAACAAUGUCUUUCAACCGCUUUCGUUGUUUGGAAAAAGUCCAUCAAACGGACUAAACGAUCAA
Molecule: long non-coding RNA, 642 nt
Organism: Rhopalosiphum padi (bird cherry-oat aphid)
Lineage: Eukaryota; Metazoa; Arthropoda; Insecta; Hemiptera; Aphididae
Exons: 4
Source: RefSeq, a predicted model, not a curated record